UACGGGGGGGGCAAGCGUUGUUCGGAAUUACUGGGCGUAAAGGGCGAGUAGGUGGCCAUCUAAGUCAGACGUGAAAUCCCCCGGCUUAACCUGGGAACUGCGUCUGAUACUGGACGGCUUGAGUAUGGGAGAGGGAUGUAGAAUUCCAGGUGUAGCGGUGAAAUGCGUAGAUAUCUGGAGGAAUACCGGUGGCGAAGGCGGCAUCCUGGACCAUUACUGACACUGAUCCGCGAAAGCUAGGGGAGCAAACGGG
This 253-nucleotide ribosomal RNA is filed under the name uncultured bacterium. Its description in RNAcentral is "partial 16S ribosomal RNA". It matches the Rfam family "Bacterial small subunit ribosomal RNA", at positions 524 to 776 of the family's 1533-position model. The record is from RNAcentral.